Molecule: long non-coding RNA, 1443 nt
Organism: Ruditapes philippinarum (Manila clam)
Lineage: Eukaryota; Metazoa; Mollusca; Bivalvia; Venerida; Veneridae
Exons: 3
Source: RefSeq, a predicted model, not a curated record
UCCAAAACAGUCUAAAAUGACACUGCAACUGUGAUUCUCUUAUAAUUUUCAAGUUUUACUUUUAUUUAUCAUUUGAUAUAUUUGUACCUUCAAUAAAAUUAAUGUAAAAAUAAAAUGAUGAUGGCUUUGAUAUUUUGGGAUCACCCCUGUUUCACAUUAUGAUUGCCCCUUCAGUUAUACUGUUGAAAAAUUUGAAUCUCAGACAUUAAUGGGUCAAGUGGUUAUAGUUGGAAGUAGUGCAAACCUGGAUUUAUUUUAAGCAAUUUUGGACAUAUCUUGUUUUAAAUGUUAGGGAGCAUAUUUUGGAAUUUUCAAAGAAAACAUUUAUCUAAGUGUGACAAGAUUCAGGAAAUGUUGGCUGUUGUAAUUGAACCUAAAGAUCAAUGACCUGGGACAGGAAGAUAAACAAAAGAAACAUGAUAGUAAAAAGGUUCAGAGUCAGCUUGUAAGCAAGGUUGCAAGACUGUUCCAAACUACAAGAAGAUGGCAAUCCAGCUUUGCUGUGUUUUAUCAUAGUAUAUCAUUGGCAUCCAGGCAUCGAUUAAGGAAGCCAACUGUAGACCAGGAAAGGCUUCAAGGAAUAUACUACAGAAUUGUAUCCUGGAGCAUUUUCCACAUGCGACCCCUGUGAUGGUGAGGGAAAAACUAAGGGACAUUUAAAAAUCAUGAAGAGUGAACAGGAAUUCAAAAGAUAGAUAUUUGAAUACAUUAAAAUUUAACCGGAUACCAAAAUAUUAUAACUGAACAUUUGAGUGUAAUAUUUACCAUUAAAGACUUCUAACUUAACUUUUCAUUUGUAGUGCAUUACUAUUUACUUCACACUGACAUUAAAUGUUUCAGUGAGUCAUGUGAUCAUUUUUUGCUCUGUAUUAUUACAAAGAAGUUUCUUAAUUCCUUAAAAUGACAAUAUAAUUGCUCUUUUCAGAAUAUUUGAUUGGAUGUUAUAUUUUCUGAUUUUCCAUGGAUAUUCUAGAAAUUUCCAAGGUUUUUGCUCAAAUAAACCUUGGAAAAUUCUCUGAUGCCCUUAAGUAAGAAUCCUCGAAAAUAUAACAGUAUUCCCAGUUGUGAGAAACUUUCCGAGGUUUUCAUUUAAAAACCUUGGAAAACAAACCACGGAAACACUUUAAAAAUCCUUGGAAAUCGUUCCAAUACUCCGAGGUCACUCAUUUUCCAAGGUUUUCUAAACAAAAUCCUCGGAAAUUAUUUUACGAGGUUUUUAUUCUGAAAUCCUUGGAAAUCGUUCCAAUACUCCGAGGUCAUACUUUUUACGAGGUUUUUUUUUAAAAAAAACUCGGAAAUUUUUUUACAAGGUUUUUCACCCUCUCCCUAUUUUUCCAAGGUUUUUUUAAUAGCAAAGUUUUGCAUUUUCUUGUUCCAAUACUCCGAGGUUUUUUUCCAAGGAUUUUGAGCCAAAAACCUUGGAAAAUCUACACCCGGGAAAUG